AUACGGAGGAUGCGAGCGUUAUCCGGAUUUAUUGGGUUUAAAGGGAGCGUAGGUGGGAUAUUAAGUCAGCUGUGAAAGUUUGGGGCUCAACCUUAACAUUGCAGUUGAUACUGGUUUCCUUGAGUACGGUACAGGUGGGCGGAAUUCGUGGUGUAGCGGUGAAAUGCUUAGAUAUCACGAAGAACUCCGAUCGCGAAGGCAGCUCACCGGGCCGGAACUGACACUGAUGCUCGAAAGUGCGGGUAUCAAACAGGAUUAGAUACCCUGGUAGUCCGCACAGUAAACGAUGAAUACUCGCUGUUUGCGAUACACGGUAAGCGGCCAAGCGAAAGCGUUAAGUAUUCCACCUGGGGAGUACGCCGGCAACGGUGAAACUCAAAGGAAUUGACGGGG
RNAcentral lists this ribosomal RNA (393 nucleotides) under uncultured bacterium. Its description in RNAcentral is "partial 16S ribosomal RNA". It matches the Rfam family "Bacterial small subunit ribosomal RNA", at positions 523 to 918 of the family's 1533-position model. The record is from RNAcentral.